Long non-coding RNA from Daphnia magna, 411 nucleotides. RefSeq lists it as uncharacterized. The record is from RefSeq and is a predicted model, not a curated record. The transcript is spliced from 4 exons. Lineage: Eukaryota; Metazoa; Arthropoda; Branchiopoda; Diplostraca; Daphniidae.
UUGUAGCAGACGAAUUUCUGGAAGCAAACGAAAUUCUUCGGCUGAAAGAGCAGAGCAACUUACAAACAAAAAUAAAAUAAAAAUAAAGUAGAUGUUGGCAUUAAAACAGUUGUUGGCACAUCCACCCAAGGAUUCCCUUAAUUUCGACAGAGGAAGCUGAGGGAUGAACAGUUACAUCUAUCAGGAAUUAUUGAUCGGGUCUUAAGUCCUAUCAAAUACAUCUCUUAGGUACAUGAAUUGGCUAUCAGGUUUUCUCAACAGCUUUCAAGUCAUUCAAACUGAAACAUGAUGGUCUUUUGGAUCAACUCGUCAUUUUCAAGAUUAUCAAGCAACAGAGAAAAUUAAAGCUUACAUAAUAAAAUUGAUCGUCGCGUUCGUUCAGAUUCAUUCUAAUAAAGUGAUUUAUUUGGC